This 78-nucleotide non-coding RNA is filed under the name unclassified sequences. RNAcentral's name for it is "skipping-rope RNA". It matches the Rfam family "skipping-rope RNA". Rfam says of the family: Firmicutes, Fusobacteria, AlphaProteobacteria, Spirochaetes. The record is from Rfam by way of RNAcentral.
AAUUAUUGAGGUCGGAAAUGGCUCCCGACGCACCUUUACGGUAUUUGAGAUGUAGGAUACGCCGCCCUACCUAUAAUU